AUUGCAGACCGCCUUAUCGUUCUGAUAUUUCAGGAAGGAAAGUCCGGACACCAAAGAGUAGCAUAGCGGGUAAUUCCCGUCACCCGCUUAGGCGAGGUAGGACCAGUGCAACAGAAAGUAUGUACAGAUAAUGCUGUAGUGAAACCAGGUAAACUCUAUGCGGUGCAAUUUCAAGUAUAUCAACAUUUAAGGGUUACUCGCUCGUUGUUGAAGGGUAGAAAGCUAGAAUUAUGCAGUAAUGUAUAAUCAAGAUAAAUGAUAAGGUAUCUUUUUAUUUCAUAGAAAGAGAACAGAAUCCGGCUUACAGGUCUGCUUUUUUU
This 320-nucleotide RNase P RNA is filed under the name Flavobacterium sp. RNAcentral describes it as "RNase P RNA component class A". It matches the Rfam family "Bacterial RNase P class A". Rfam says of the family: Ribonuclease P (RNase P) is a ubiquitous endoribonuclease, found in archaea, bacteria and eukarya as well as chloroplasts and mitochondria. Its best characterised activity is the generation of mature 5'-ends of tRNAs by cleaving the 5'-leader elements of precursor-tRNAs. Lineage: Bacteria; Pseudomonadati; Bacteroidota; Flavobacteriia; Flavobacteriales; Flavobacteriaceae. The record is from RNAcentral.